RNAcentral lists this ribosomal RNA (835 nucleotides) under uncultured Glomus. RNAcentral describes it as "bacterial SSU rRNA". It matches the Rfam family "Eukaryotic small subunit ribosomal RNA", at positions 338 to 1114 of the family's 1831-position model. Lineage: Eukaryota; Fungi; Glomeromycota; Glomeromycetes; Glomerales; Glomeraceae. The record is from RNAcentral.
GGCCUACCAUGGUGGUAACGGGUAACGGGGUGUUAGGGCACGACACCGGAGAGGGAGCCUGAGAAACGGCUACCACAUCCAAGGAUGGCAGCAGGCGCGCAAAUUACCCAAUCCCGACACAGGGAGGUAGUGACAAUAAAUAACAAUACGGGGUUCUUUCGGAUCUCGUAAUUGGAAUGAGUACAAUUUAAAUCUCUUAACGAGGAACAAUUGGAGGGCAAGUCUGGUGCCAGCAGCCGCGGUAAUUCCAGCUCCAAUAGCGUAUAUUAAAGUUGUUGCAGUUAAAAAGCUCGUAGUUGAGGUAAUUCCAGCUCCAAUAGCGUAUAUUAAAGUUGUUGCAGUUAAAAAGCUCGUAGUUGAAUUUCGGGGUUAGUAGGUUGGUCAUGCCUCUGGUAUGUACUGGUCUCACUGAUUCCUCCUUCCUGAUGAACCGUAAUGCCAUUAAUUUGGUGUUGCGGGGAAUUUGGACUGUUACUUUGAAAAAAUUAGAGUGUUUAAAGCAAGCUAACGCUUGAAUACAUUAGCAUGGAAUAAUGAAAUAGGACGUUCGAUCCUAUUUUGUUGGUUUCUAGGAUUGACGUAAUGAUUAAUAGGGAUAGUUGGGGGCAUUAGUAUUCAAUUGUCAGAGGUGAAAUUCUUGGAUUUAUUGAAGACUAACUACUGCGAAAGCAUUUGCCAAGGAUGUUUUCAUUAAUCAAGAACGAAAGUUAGGGGAUCGAAGACGAUCAGAUACCGUCGUAGUCUUAACCAUAAACUAUGCCGACUAGGGAUCGGAUGAUGUUAAUUUUUUAAUGACUCAUUCGGCGCCUUACGGGAAACCAAAGUGUUUGGGUUC